This 4025-nucleotide unclassified non-coding RNA is filed under the name Leishmania donovani. Its description in RNAcentral is "gene:LdHU3.15.0930(CDS-product:hypothetical_prote in_conserved)". The record is from RNAcentral. Lineage: Eukaryota; Euglenozoa; Kinetoplastea; Trypanosomatida; Trypanosomatidae.
UGAGAGAUCACGUCACCUUCAAAGUCUAAGGGGAGUCUGUGUGCGCGUGUGGGGGGUGAGAGUGAGUGGUCUCGUGGUCUGUCUGUGUGUGCGUGUGUGUGCACGAUCGCGUGGAUGCGUUUUCCUUGUGUUCCCCUUUCCUUUCGCGCAGAGGAGCGGCACACGUCAUUGGUGAAGGCAACAAGACGAGUAGAGCGAGAGAGACGCACACGCAACCGUGAGAGUCGAAUCCGCGCUUCGGUACUGCUGUGGCGUUCUGUUUUUGUUUUCUCUCUCUCUCUGUGUUCAGUCUAUCAGCUCUUAGUCAUCGGCACUGGAAGACUCGCGUGCCUGCGACACACUUACGCAUGGAGACACGGGCGCAGAAACGCACAGCCCCAUCCACAAUACUUCUCCCGAGUCCCCCUUCUUCAUCUCGACAGACGCACCUAAGCGUCUCCCUCCUUCCUUCUUUUUUAGUCUGUUGCUUCGCUUGACGGAAAUGAACGGCAAAGACGGGAAUUCUCUGCCUUCAAGAGUUGCAGCGACAGCAUCCGGCUCCUUCAGCAUCACUUCCCUUACAGACGACUCGUCGCGCACGUUGGCAACGCGGCAAGAUGCACGACGGCGCAGUUUCCUCGACCUGGACGAUGACGUCUUCAAUUACGUCUGCUCCUACGUGCCGGUCAAUGACCUUCUGCGCAACGUGGCCGUCGCGAGCCACGACACGCGGCGCCGCGUUUCAGCGAACCACGCUCUCUGGCAGCAGCUCUGGAUGCGAUACCUGCUAUUCUUUUUCAACGCCUUGAUUCCAGCCACAGCGGCAGCCGCCGACUGGGCGUCGUCGCCGGCGGCACCGACUCGUGGACGAUGGGGAGUGGCGCCGCCGGACGCGAUGGGCAUGCUUCACACCACCGCUACAACGCCACCCAGUCAUGACAGCGUCUGGCACCUCUAUCACUUUCACCACUCGGCAGAGGCGAAGCCGCACGUGGUGCAGCUCGAGAAGCUGCACAUUGUGCGCGAAGACAUCGCCGACCCGGCAGCCGCGGUGUCACCCACCUCGCGCUGUGCUCCCAGCGAGUUAAGAACGGCGGAGGUCCAAGCACAGCUGCUGAGCUUCGCCCAGGCGUGCGCUACACAGACGGUGGCGCGGAAUCUCACGUACAUGACAGCCCCGUCCUCUCCCUCCUCCGCCUCCCCGCCGCCCAGCGCCCGACCUGAAGGGGUGCCACAGGGCGAAACCUUCGCGCACGGCAGCACCUUGCAUGUGCUUAAACAGCAGCAGCGGCAGGCGGAUCGGCUACAACGGGUAUUGCACUUCCUUCUCUCCGCCACCGGUCACCGGCCGCGCUUUCACGACCGGCUCUGGGGGGCCACCAACGACGCUGAAAGAGAGUUCAUCCGGAAGGCGCGCAGAGGGGCGGCGUCCACGGACACGAAGCCGGCCAAGCGGCGAAAUCCCCUGAGUCCGUCGUCGUCGCUUGCAGCGGCAGCGCCGCACUCGCCGCCAGCGCGGGUCCGCCCGAUGAGCUGGAUCGACGACCAAGAGACCUCUGUCAAGGUUCUUCUCUUUGACGACGACACGCGCUCCGUCGGCGACGCCGCAGCGGUGCAGGAGGAACGCUCCAAGUUGCUGGCGUCCAUCGCAAAGAACUGGCGCACCGCCUACGCUUCCCACUUCUACCCAUGCGUGGCGAACGGCAGUGAACCGGGAAGUCCUCUUCCGCGCUUCCCUGCGUCCAGCUUCCCCGUCUCCGCUACUGCAGCGGCGACAGCGGGUGGGGGAGCGGCGUCGCCUGUGCCCGAUGCCGAGCGCAGCCGCCGGGAGCAGCAGCUAAACGGAGGACACGUCACAUGGGAACAGGUGUACCGUCGUUUUCGGGACGGCAGCAGCGCCACCAUUCGUAGCACCGCGCGUAUGCAGCACCAGGCGGCGGCGCAGAGAGGAGAUGUGGGCAGCGACGACGACGACGCGGCCAUCCCCUCCUCGAGCAAUCCCCUCUUCGAUCUGCACCUGCUCGGCUACGAAAAGCGCAAGCAGGUGUACGCCGCAAUGCUGGCCAGCACCGUCGAGGUGCCGGAGGGCAUGGGCGCGUUCUUUGGCACGUGUGUCUCCGAGUCGUUCUUGCGAUGGUGGUGCUGGCGGAACCGACGACGCACGGAGGCAAGUCAGGCACUCGUGGCGCCGCCGGCCAACGCUGUCGGAGAUGAUCGCGGAAGGCUUCCAGUGCGACGCCACAUUGCGCUCGCUCCUUUUACCGCCGCCUGCGAUGACGCGUCGCCGCCGCGGUCGCUGUGGGUGGUGCGAGUGGCCGCCAGAGACCCACACGACGACAUCGGGAGAGGCGAGGCUGAGGACGAGUCCGUCACCUACAGCUCCUCGUAUUCGGACGUGAGCACGACGACGAGCAACACCAGCAGCCACACGCUUGCCUCGUCCUCCAUCCGCUUUUCGGAGGAAAGAGAGGAAGAGAACGAAUUCAGCACAGCAGAGGAUUCAAGCGAGCUCGAGACAGCCCACGCCGUGGCCGCGGAUGAAGAGCCACACGUCGCGACAGCAGAGGCAUCGUCUCCGUCACAGACACCGCCUACGCCGUCCUACCACCCGCCCGUAGCGGUGCUCUUCCCCCUUCCCCACAUGUUUACGUACUGGUUCAUGAUGCACCAUGUCUCCUUCUACAGUCACCAGGUAUACAGGCGCAUGUGGGGUGAUCAGGAACUCACCAUCGCCGUGUGGAGCCGUAUCCUCAGCCCCACAGGACACAGCGCUGAGUGUCGCCUCUUCUACUCGCUGCGAUGUGCAACGUUUCCGCGCAUGUUCACGAAAAUGAUGUUCACGCCUGGGGUGCUGCCAUCGCUGACGCUGCAGGGAAAGAUGUCGGAGCGCUCGCCGUACUGCUCCCCGUCGUCGUCGUCGGCAUACGACUCGCAGUCGUUAUCUGCUGAUGCCGACGGUAAUGCCGGCAGCACGCCCGGGUCGUCGUCCGCGUCGACGGGUGACAAACCGGUGGACAGUCGGCAAAUCUACGACCUCUUCUGGACCGGCUUUGGGCGUGUGGAGGUGGACUCUGGGCCGACCAUCUCACGGUCGAACAUGGUGCGCCUGCGCAUCGCGCUCGGGCUGCCGGUCGACUUUCCAAUGGGGCUUCUGUGGAAUGUGGUGAUGUUCGCCUCAGGCAUUGGCCCUCUCAUUCUUAAAGAGCACCGGCACUCUCUUCACUUCAACUACGCCAAGACAUUCACCGACGUCGUGGCGGACGAGUUCGGUGAGCUCGCGUGCUUCGGCCUCGGUGCCCAGUCGCCCAGCAGGAGGAACGACUCCACAGCGAUGGCGAACCCGCUCGAUGCAGAGGCGGUAAUGUGGGGGCGACACGCCGUAUCCGCAAUGGCACCCGCAGUGGGGCAGGGGCAGGUCGUACGAACCGCCGGCAACAAUCAAGAGACGCCCGAAGCUGACGAACAAGCGGUGAAUGAACUGGAUCCUGCACAUCACGACACCUCUUCCGACCCGACACCUCUCACGGGCAUCACAAACUGGUCGUGGGACCUGGACUCCGAGUUUAGCAGUGACGAGGCCUACUGGUCACUUCCCGGCAGCGACGUCUCCUCCGGAUACCAGUGACCCCCCCCUCCCGAACUUGAUGACGGCGCGCAUUGCAAUAGUGAGCUCAUAAGCACCGCUGAGUGAUACCUCUGUUUCACUGCCUUGUACCACGUCAAUCGUUUCGGUUUCGUGCGCAUGUAAGCAUCGGGAGAGGCGAGGGGGAAGCACCCCGUUGCGUGUAUGUGUGUGUGCGUGCCGCGUCAACGUGAUUGAAUGAGCUGGGGAGAGGGAAGAGGAAUCAGCGAGAGUGCGUAAAAGAUGGGUGAAGGGCCGGGGGGAGGCAACGAUGGGCGCGUCUGCGCGUCUUCUCCGUCAGUCCACCGCCCCCCCCCUCUCCCCUCCCGUCUACCUCAGGGCAGGCACAUAUCACCCAUGUCCUCCCCUCCCCAUCCGGCCACGCUUGCUUUACGUGCAAAAUGCUGCCCAAUUACCAGCGCAU